RNAcentral lists this ribosomal RNA (253 nucleotides) under uncultured bacterium. RNAcentral's name for it is "partial 16S ribosomal RNA". It matches the Rfam family "Bacterial small subunit ribosomal RNA", at positions 524 to 776 of the family's 1533-position model. The record is from RNAcentral.
UACGGAGGGUGCAAGCGUUGUCCGGAAUCACUGGGCGUAAAGGGCGCGUAGGCGGCUCAUGAAGGCUGUGGUGAAAGUCCGGGGCUCAACCUCGGAUCGGCCGUGGCGACUCGUGGGCUGGAGCACUGUAGAGGCGGGUGGAAUUCCGGGUGUAGCGGUGGAAUGCGUAGAGAUCCGGAAGAACACCAGUGGCGAAGGCGGCCCGCUGGGGUCGAACUGACGCUGAGGCGCGACAGCGUGGGGAGCAAACAGG